CGCCGCGCACCGCUCUCGCCGCGAGGUGGCGCGCUGCCGCCCGCCCCGAGGUGGGCCGGGCGCGGUGCUGCUGCUCGGGUUGUGGGCUCAGUUGGGCGGGCGGGGUUGUGAGGUGUUCAGCCGGCCUGAGGGAGAAAGGGGGAUUUCCCAAGUUAACGCGCUUUUUAAGUGUGGAAGCACAGAAGUGAAGGGGCGUCACGAGGCGGUGUGAAGAGCUUGUGGAAGGGUUGAUCCAAAUCUCACUGUAUCCCUCUCCAAGAUGAUCGGGCCCAGUGCUGGCAGGACCUGCAGCAGACUGGGGGAUUGCAGCAUACAUAUGUGAGGACUUCCUGCACCAGGGGCACCCCAGGGGAGUGCAGAGACCCACUGGGAGCUGGCGGUUCUGGUGAGAAGAACUGAGAAGACUCCAGUGGGGCCAGGAGCAGUGGCCAUCGUUCUCUGCGUGUGCAGAAGACAGCCCCAGGGACUGUGGCGAUCGGCACAUAGCGGGUCUGAUAGAGCCAAACAACUUUUAUCUAAUUCUGCUCAUUCAAGCUGGAUCACAGAAGGCUUUAACAAGGAGACUGCAAAACAUUAAAAGGGACUUUACAUCUCUUGGAAGGAUGUAGAAGAGAUUGGGAGUGUAAGUAGUGUUGUCUUCUGUCCUUCUGAUGGAGGCUGGCACCUGGGAAGGAGGAGAACAGGACAAGCGAAUGAUUGGCUGUGUGGAUGGUGCUAUACAUGGGGCUGUGGCUUCCAUGAUCUUCGACAGGCCUUUGAGGUGCUGAGCAUGUUGACUUCAAAUGAGACACAACUGACUGGGUGGGACAAGAAUGUUCUGGGAAACAAGCUGUCUGGGCUGAUCAGCAGAACUUAAAACUAGAUUCGAUGGGGAAAGGAGGUGGAUUUCAAAAUGACAAAGGAAGACUGGCGAACGCUGUCACUUUAGAAGGCAGUGGAGAUGGACUUCAGAUUUGUCCCCAAGGAACUCAGGAGGGCUCCCUGAAGAAGCUAAUACUGCUGAUUGUCUGGAUGAUGUGCCUCUAUACCAGUGCCAGCAGCAUGGGAAAUAAUCAGGAGGAGCUGGAAGACAUGGCACAACGGAAAAACUUACCUAGUUGCUAUCAAGGAAAUGUGGAAUGAAUUGCACAGCUGGAGCACAGUGAUCAAGGCCUGCAAGCUUUUUAGGAGAAAUACAGGGGGAUGGAGGGGCAGGGGAGUUGCUCUCUGCGUUAAGAAGUGGAUAGAUUGAAAAGAGCUGCCUUUGAAAAACAGCCAUGAUCAGAUGGAGAGCUCGUGGGCAACAGCAGGAACUGGUCCAUUGAAGGCCAUCUGGUGAUUGGGGUCUACUACAGGUUGCCCCAUCAAGGGGAGCUUGAGCACAAGGCCUUCUUGCUACAAAAGGCUCUCAUCCUGAUGGGAGAUUUCAACCACUCAGAUGUCUGCUGGGGAAACAACAUGAUGGGCUGCAAGUGAUUCAGGAGACUCCUGAAGUGCAUGGAUGAAUAUCAGGGACUGGUCCAACAAAGGACAUCUGAUGUUAAGGGGUCUACUACAGGCUGUGUGAUCAAGGGUAGCCUGUGGAUAAGGCCUUCUUGCUUCAGAUACAGGAAGCAUUGUAUUCACAGGCUUUCAUCCUCAUGGGGAAUUUCAGCCAUCCAGAUGUCUGCUGGGAAAGAAGCACAGUGGGUUGCAGACAAUCCAGGAGACUCUUGAAGUGUGUUGAUGAUAACUUCCUGGUCCGGGUAUUAUACAAAUUGACCUGAGGGGAAGCGUUAAAAGAUCUGUUGCUCACCAGUGUAGAGGAGAUCAUUGAGGAGGUUAAGAUAGAAGGCAGUCUGGGCUAUAUUGACCAUGCCUUGGUUGAAUUUGUGAUCUUGAGGAAUAUGGGCCUGGAGAAAAGCAAACUCAGGGCCUGAACUUGAGGAGAGAGAACUUCUGGCAGUUUAAGGAAUUAUUAGAUGAGAUCCCUUGGAAAGCUGUUGGAGUAGAGCUGGCAGCUCUUUUAAGGACACGUUUUUGAAAUCACAAGAACUCAGUAUAGGAAAACAAAAAGAGAAAGCAGGAGACUGGUAGGGCUGAGCAAGGACCUACUGGUCAAACUAAGGGAAAACAGGAACUCUCUCUUGAACUGUCUUUCUUGAACAGGGGUGCCAAAAUCUGCACACAGUACUGCAGAAUUGGCCUCACCAGAGCAGAGUAGAGGGGGAGGAUCACCUCCCUUGACCUGCUCACCACACUCUUUUUAAAGCACCCCAGGAUACCGUUAGCCUUCUGUGUCACAAGGGCACACUGCUGGACUAUGAUCAAGCUGCUGUUCACCAGUACACUCACAUCCUUCUCUGCAGAGUUCCUUUCUAUCAGAUCAGCCCCUAAUCUGUACUAGUGUGUAGAGUUAUUUCUCCCCAUGUGUAGGACUCUACACUUGCCCUUGUUGAACCUCAUAAGGUUCCUUUCUGCACAACUGUCCAGCCUGUCCAGGUCUCACAGAAUAGCAACACAGCCUUCUGGUGUGUCAGCCACUCCUAGCUUUGUAUCACCAGCAAACUUGCUGAGGGUGCACUUUAUCCCUUCAUCUAUGUCCCUUAUGAAGAUGUUAAACAAGACCAGAUGCAGUUCUGACUCCCGGGGAACACUGUUAGCUACAGGUUUCCAACUAAGACUCUGUCACUGAUCACAACUCUCUGAGCUGUACCAGUAAGCCAGUUCUCAAUCCACCUCACUGUCCAUUCAUCUGUCCCACAGUUCCUAAGCUUACCUAUGAGGAUGUAGUGGAAGACAGCAUCAAAAGCCUCGAUGAUGUCAAAGUUGACAACAUCCGGUGUUCUCUGCUCAUCUAUCCAGCUGGUCAUGGCAUCAUAUAAGGCUACCAGACUGAUCAAGCAUAAUUUCCCCUUGGAGAAUCCAUGCUCACUACUCCCGAUGACUUUCUUCUCUUCCACUUAGAAAGGCUUGGAUUCCAUGCUUGAAGAUGACAUCCAGAAUAGCCAAGAACAACUGAGCAGAGAGCGGCAUUUCUGGGAAGAGGCAUCAGAAACUACAACAGAUACGAAGAGCUUGAUUCUCAAGAUAAUUCCUCUUCACUUGAUGAAUCCCAGGCAAGCCAAAAGGUUGGACAACCAAGAUGUCUACUCAUCCAUGCUAAACUUCAGAGAGAUCCCUCUAGUUUCUCCUGAUACCUUUGCAUUUCAUUCAGUAUGGCGUGUUGUAGAAGUGAGACUCAAACCCUGGCUUUCCUGUGCCCACAACAUUGUUACUGGAGGAGCUGGAUUCACUGAAUGGCAGAUGUCACCACAUGGACCUUCCCCACGUCACUCUCCAUCUACACCUCUGAACAUGAGAGGGGAGUGUAUCCCAUUUAGGCCACCUUCACUGGACCUGAAGUAAGGUGAGAGAGUCUGUGGGCUCUUCAUGCCCCUGCCAGAAACGUGCCUUCUAACUGGUCUCUUGAUGCCUCACCUGCAGCUGAGGCACCUGCCGCUGAGCACCUGGAGAUGCAUUCCGGCCAAGAGACUGAACACCCAAAACUAUCCAUUAGCAUUUUCCAUGAAGAGAUAAGCUCUGCUCUCUGUUGGAGUUUCACUGUAGUAGCUAGGGGUUUGGGAGACCUGGCUUUGUUUCUGGCUCUGUCAUUCAUCUUCUGCAUGGCCUUGGCAAGUCCUUUCUCUUUUCUGUGCCUGCCUUUGCCCACAUACUCCUCUUCUGAACUAAUGGCGGUACUGUGGCUGUUUGAAUCUGUGUUGUGUGAGUAAAUAAACAGUAACUGUAGAAAGGUUUGAUUUUUUUAAAAAGAUGCUGCUUGGCAAGAUCUAACGUUAACCGAAGAUGGAAAAGGUGUGGUAUCUUGAAGUUUUUCCACCUCUACUCUCUGCUUACCUUCAGUGGAAAGUUGAUUUUCAUCAGCUGAGGAACAGAAACGAGUCCCAGCCUGCUAGCACAACCACAGUGUUAGUUAGGAAUAGUCUGAAACACAUGCAGGGAGUGAAAAUAAACCCCAGCUUAUCUGUACACUGACUUUAGACAAUAAGAGUAGCUGUGGACCAGACAUCUACUGAAAGGUGUCCUGGAGCAGAAGGCAAAGUUUCCCUUCUAAACAGCUUACUUUUGCCAUCCAGGUCCUGGAAACACUCAGCUAUUUGUAAGCAUAGAAUUUUCUCUGCAAAACACUGAUGCUUUGGGGUAGGCUGAGUACUCUGCAUUGAAAUCCAGGAUACAAUGCAGUCAGUGGGUGGCCCCAGACAACUUUGAAUGGGCUUUGGAAUAGGGCCCAAGCAUAUCACAAAGAAAGGGAGAAGGAAGCUUUGCUUUAGCCAAAUCUCUGAGCAUGUGCUUCACCACUGAAAUUAGUAAGAAUUAAGCAUAUACUUAAGUAUUCUGCUGACACUUACCUUAACCACCGAGUAACAAAUACUGUCUUGCAGAGACUCUGCUUAAAAGAGAAAAAUGCCUUUUACGUGUCAAAGAGGGACAUAACAUUUAAAAUGGCAUUUCAAAUUUCUUUUAUUUUUUAGUGACAUAGCAAAAGCAGUAUUUGGCCCUGUGCUGCUUGGAACGAGGACAUUUCAAAUUAUUACCAACUGCAGCUUCUCUCUGCAUCAUUUUGCAUUAUGCAGUUUAAUGGCUGCCUGCUAGAAAGGCAUCUUCUCUGCUUCAGUCAUCUAACAGGAUUUUUGGCAUCCAGCUCAUCAGAUGGGUUAUUUUCUUUAACCAUAUUCCUGUAGGACUGCAUCUUUUAAGCAUCCUGCUGCGUUAUUUUGGCACAACCUUUAUAUCUCUUCAUCUUAUUGUUUCUGGAAUUCCUUUUCUCUUUGUAUCAAGUGAUGUUGCUGUGUGUGCUUUUUCUAACAAAUCUUGGUGGAAGAUCAGAAAAACAAACAAACAAAAAAGGCUAAUGUAUCCUAAGGAUUGAUAAUUUCAGGGUCAAAAGAGAUUUUAAGUGCUGAUCUUCUUGCACCCGCUGAUGAAUCUUUCCGACCAAGAAGCUGGUGUAUCGUAUCUAGCUGGCAGCACACAGAACACAUUAGGAAAACAAAGAGAAUGUGAGAUUAAGCCGAAAACAGGCAAGAGAGGCAUUUUCUCACUGUUCUGCAUGAAGGCAGAAGAUGCUUCAAGAGGAUACAACCUCGGUUUUCUUGUUGGAACUAUGGCCUCUUCCCCCCAUCAGAUUAUUCAAAGGCAACAUCACUGAAGUCAAGUGAGAACAGGACACUGCUGAAGUCUGCUGAGCCGUUCUGGUCUGGAAUAACCUGUCAACAGGAACACAGAGGGAAAAUCCUAAUGGCACUAAGUUACUCCUGACAAGUGGAUCAGCACCCACGGACAGCCACAUGCUGUGUUGCGAAGACCAGCUCUGGUGUCCCAAGAACAAGUGAGCUUGGCACAGCCUCGAGGAGCACUGUCAGCAGCUACAGCAAAGGUCGGUCAGCCCCUGGUUGUGGGACUUUACUUGGAGAAAGAGAGAGAGAGAAAAUGACAGGAGAGGGAUGAACUUCCCAGUGACCAGCAAAUGGCUGAGCAGUGAGCAUGUACUGCUGGGUGGAAGGAAACUGGAAAAGCAAGGAGUUAUCGAAUUAUCAGUGCAUUUGGAGACUGAAUAUUCAUAGCUGCUUUUCUCCACUUGAGAUGCUCAGAGAAGGGACUGGGUUUCCAGGAGAGCUCCUUUGGGGCUGCGUAGUGUCUGCCACAAACUUUUGGAAAAUGUGGGCCACAAAACACAAGGCAGCAUGUAUAGAGAGCUGUAAUUUGGGAAAGUGAAGACCUGGACCUACUUCUUCUGUCCCUCCUUAAAAGGUAUUCUGUUGAUUGUGAGAUUUGGACAUUGCUUCUAAAAGAAUAAAGUUUCAAAAAUGGCAACAACAAAAAAAGGCAUCUACAAAGAGGUGACAACAGAACUAUUAAUUUCUUUGUACUUAGGGAAGAAAAGAUUUUUCCCUAAUAGGACCCACAACGGCAAUGUGGAAACUGUUUCUGUUAGCUGGAGCACUUCUUCAUAUGUCCUCUAUAGGGAGUGGGUCAAAAACGGCGAGCAUCAGCAGACCCUUAGAGCAGACUCUUCUUCUGUCCUUUCUGUGCCCACUAUGCAAUUACUCAGCUACAGUCUGACAUCUACAGUCACAAAGACCCAGGCUGUCUGCCUGUUUAGUGCUAUAUAAGUGCUGCUAAAAUACCUGUGGACUGGCUGUCAAGGAGAAAACUUCCAGAUCGUAGUAAAGAGCUUCUUUCCAUGCAAGACAUUACUGUAAAAGAUUAAAUUCCCACCGAUAUUAUUAAGCAGGAGGUUCCAGCUCUUUGCAUUUCUUCAUGCAGUUCAAAACCAGCGAUGAACCUAGUAUAUUUUGGUGUUCCCUCUGCACAGGAAUGUUCGCAUGGCUUACUGGGACUAAUUCCUUGGCAAGGAAUGAAUUCAGACUAAUGUCCCCAGGGAGCAAGGGAUUUUCCUCCAUUGCCUUUAUUUAGAAAGAAGCAUAGAAAAAUGUUGAAGAUGCAUGCAGUGAUAAACCACAGAGUAAACAAGAGAUAGAAAGAGAGGUUGGGAAAAAACAGCAUGGCUGGAGUACUGGUGUAAUCAGAAGACAGAAAGAGCUGAUAGCGUGGUUGGCUGUGCAUGUGGGUGCACAUGCGUGAGAGGGAACCUGUAAUUUCUCUGCUUCCUCACCUCUCAUCCAAAAUAAAAGAUUUUGCUUGUGCUAUUUGCGGGCAUAAUGCUGCACACCUCCUGCUCUCCAUGAGAGAAGUGGUGCAGGAAUUGGCCCUUACUUUUGUCACAUGCACAUGGGUGACACGAAUCCAUCCUUGAGCAUGUCUGCAUCCUUUGUCUCUCCGGACAUCACCUGUAGCACCUGGCAGAAGCAUGUUGAGCGCAAUGCAGGCAGUGCCUUGCGAGUGUGGAAGAGCAGUUUGAAACACUGAAUGGAUAAACUGAACUCUUCUGAUCUAGACAGACCUUUCUGAUCUAGUCACGAGGAGGUAUGGUACUUCUUUGUGCGAAAGUACUGCUCACAUAAUGUGAAUAGGAAUUGCGUGUGUUUGCACCAAGAGAAUAAUAUACCCCUAUGGAAACCACAGAUGGGCCUAAAACUUUUCACUGCAUCACCACUGUUACUUCCAGAAGUCUAAUUGUCCUCCAAAGCUUGGAAUUUCUUUCAUACGUAGGUACCAUUGAGCAGGAUGUACUUAAGUAGGAUGUACUUAAUACUUAGGUACAGUGAAACAGCAGGACUAGGUAGGUGGCUCAAAAUUCAGUCCAGAGGAUAUUUUGUCUCUGUGUGAUGCUUGGGUGUGAUGAUCAAAGCUCAGGCCUAUGACAAGGUGCUUUCACAGCCUGUCUGGAAGUUGACAGGACAAAAAUAUGGACACUUUAGCCCUCCAAAGGUGUGAAUUCAGUAGGUGUUUGACUAGAAACUGUGGAAAUGCCAUGCCAUUUAGUAACAAUAGGAACUUUUCUAGAAUAGGAUCAUCCAGAGGGUUUUAAAUCAAUUUGGCUUGACCUCUUCAGUAGAUGUCCAUCUCCCUGUUCAAUCUAAUACUUGAUCCAUAAGAGUGAUUCCUUACCCAGGAGCAAGAGUCAUAGUAUGAAUUUCCUAACCAGGCUAGAUAACAGUUAACACAGGAGUCUUUGUACUCUACAUUCUCUUUCUGCUGACCCUAAUCCCUGUCCCUGCAGUAAGGCUGGCCAAUCAAGCCCAGCACUUGCAGCUGAAUAUGGCACUACAGAAAAGGUAAUUCAAAGCCACAGUCAUACAAAAGGCGAAAGAAACUGCUUGGUUAACCAUUUUACCUCUAGGUACUAGCUUUGCCCUCUCCUCCGUGUCAAGCAAUGGUGAGACCUCUCCUAUUUCCAUAUAGCACCUUUCCCCCAUUUAGAUUAGGCCAUUCUUGAACCUCGUCAUCUUUUUUUUUUUCUUUUAGUCUCCUGAAGCCUCCUUUUAUGUGCAAUGAGGGUACCUCCCAUAUUUGUUACACAAACAUUUAUUGGCCUUAUGGUGCCUACAGAAAUUGCAAACUAGAAGUUCACUGACUGUAAGAAAAAACAUCAAAUUUAUGAGAAUUUUCAGGCUAGCCUCAUGAUUCUGAC
Gallus gallus (chicken) is the source of this 8053-nucleotide long non-coding RNA. NCBI's taxonomy places the organism in Eukaryota, Metazoa, Chordata, Aves, Galliformes, Phasianidae. The record is from Ensembl.